GGGCCCGCACAAGCGGUGGAGCAUGUGGUUUAAUUCGAUGCAACGCGAAGAACCUUACCAGGGUUUGACAUAGUACGAAGUUUUUUGAAAAAAACCACCUUCGGGAACGUACAUACAGGUGGUGCAUGGCUGUCGUCAGCUCGUGCCGUGAGGUGUCAGGUUAAGUCCUAUAACGAGCGCAACCCCUAUCGUUAGUUGCCAGCGAGUAAUGUCGGGAACUCUAACGAAACUGCCAGUGCAAACUGUGAGGAAGGUGGGGAUGACGUCAAAUCAUCACGGCCCUUACGUCCUGGGCUACACAUGUGCUACAAUGGCCGGUACAGAGAGCAGCCACUUCGCAAGGUGGAGCGAAUCCUUAAAACCGGUCUCAGUUCGGAUCGGGGUCUGCAACUCGGCCCGUGAAGCUGGAAUC
RNAcentral lists this ribosomal RNA (412 nucleotides) under uncultured bacterium. RNAcentral describes it as "bacterial SSU rRNA". It matches the Rfam family "Bacterial small subunit ribosomal RNA", at positions 917 to 1333 of the family's 1533-position model. The record is from RNAcentral.